UGGGGAAUAUUGGACAAUGGACGCAAGUCUGAUCCAGCGACGCCGCGUGGGUGAUGAAGGCCUUCGGGUUGUAAAGCCCUGUGGGCAGGGAAGAAAACGGUCCGGAAUAACAAGACGGAUCCUUGACGGUACCUGCUCAGAAAGCACCGGCUAACUCUGUGCCAGCAGCCGCGGUAAGACAGAGGGUGCAAACGUUGCUCGGAAUUACUGGGCGUAAAGCGCGUGUAGGUGGAUUGGUGUGUCAGAUGUGAAAGCCCUGGGCUCAACCCAGGAACUGCACCUGAAACUACCAGUCUUGAGUGGUGGAGAGGGAAGUGGAAUUCCUGGUGUAGAGGUGAAAUUCGUAGAUAUCAGGAGGAACACCAGUGGCGAAGGCGGCUUCCUGGACACCAACUGACGCUGAGACGCGAAAGCGUGGGGAGCAAACAG
RNAcentral lists this ribosomal RNA (429 nucleotides) under uncultured bacterium. Its description in RNAcentral is "bacterial SSU rRNA". It matches the Rfam family "Bacterial small subunit ribosomal RNA", at positions 355 to 775 of the family's 1533-position model. The record is from RNAcentral.